RNAcentral lists this ribosomal RNA (446 nucleotides) under uncultured bacterium. RNAcentral describes it as "partial 16S ribosomal RNA". It matches the Rfam family "Bacterial small subunit ribosomal RNA", at positions 329 to 792 of the family's 1533-position model. The record is from RNAcentral.
AUCCAGACUCCUACGGGAGGCAGCAGUGGGGGAUAUUGCACAAUGGGGGAAACCCUGAUGCAGCGACGCCGCGUGAGUGAAGAAGUAAUUCGUUACGUAAAGCUCUAUCAGCAGGGAAGAAAAUGACGGUACCUGACUAAGAAGCCCCGGCUAACUACGUGCCAGCAGCCGCGGUAAUACGUAGGGGGCAAGCGUUAUCCGGAUUUACUGGGUGUAAAGGGGGCGCAGACGGCAGCGCAAGCCAGGAGUGAAAGCCCGGGGCCCAACCCCGGGACUGCUCUUGGAACUGCGCGGCUGGAGUGCAGGAGGGGCAGGCGGAAUUCCUGGUGUAGCGGUGAAAUGCGUAGAUAUCAGGAGGAACACCGGUGGCGAAGGCGGCCUGCUGGACUGCGACUGACGUUGAGGCCCGAAAGCGUGGGGAGCAAGCAGGAUUAGAUACCCGAGUA